GUAACGCGUGGGAGCAUGCCCUCCGGUUCGGAAUAGCUCAGGGAAACUUGGAUUAAUACCGGAUACGGCUGAGAGGCGAAAGAUUUAUCGCCGGAGGAUUGGCCCGCGUUCGAUUAGCUUGUUGGUGAGGUAACGGCUCACCAAGGCGACGAUCGAUAGCUGGUCUGAGAGGAUGAUCAGCCACAUUGGGACUGAGACACGGCCCAAACUCCUACGGGAGGCAGCAGUGGGGAAUAUUGGACAAUGGGCGCAAGCCUGAUCCAGCCAUGCCGCGUGAGUGAUGACGGCCUUAGGGUUGUAAAGCUCUUUCGCUCGGGACGAUAAUGACGGUACCGAGAUAAGAAGCCCCGCUAACUUCGUGCCAGCAGCCGCGGUAAUACGAAGGGGGCUAGCGUUGUUCGGAAUUACUGGGCGUAAAGCGCGUGUAGGCGGGUCUUUAAGUCAGGGGUGAAAUGCCAGGGCUCAACCUUGGAACUGCCUUUGAUACUGGAGAUCUUGAGUCCGGGAGAGGUGAGUGGAAUUGCGAGUGUAGAGGUGAAAUUCGUAGAUAUUCGCAAGAACACCAGUGGCGAAGGCGGCUCACUGGCCCGGAACUGACGCUGAGACGCGAAAGCGUGGGGAGCAAACAGGAUUAGAUACCCUGGUAGUCCACGCUGUAAACGAUGGAUGCUAGCCGUUGGGGAGCUUGCUCUUCAGUGGCGCAGCUAACGCUUUAAGCAUCCCGCCUGGGGAGUACGGUCGCAAGA
Molecule: ribosomal RNA, 746 nt
Filed under: uncultured bacterium
Lineage: Bacteria
Description: bacterial SSU rRNA
Rfam family: Bacterial small subunit ribosomal RNA
Source: RNAcentral